AGGGGGCGCCUUUCAGGCAUCCUCUCCUAAAACUUUCCAGGCCGGUGCGAUUUCGCGCCGGCCUUUUUUUCGUGCGUU
Molecule: small RNA, 78 nt
Filed under: Sphingomonas sanxanigenens DSM 19645 = NX02
Lineage: Bacteria; Pseudomonadati; Pseudomonadota; Alphaproteobacteria; Sphingomonadales; Sphingomonadaceae
Description: Makes More Granules Regulator RNA (mmgR)
Rfam family: Makes More Granules Regulator RNA (mmgR)
About the family: SuhB later renamed mmgR (makes more granules regulator) was a putative non-coding RNA found multiple times in the Agrobacterium tumefaciens genome and related alpha-proteobacteria. Other non-coding RNAs uncovered in the same analysis include: speF, ybhL, metA, and serC.
Source: Rfam by way of RNAcentral